CCUACGGGAGGCAGCAGUGGGGAAUAUUGGACAAUGGGGGCAACCCUGAUCCAGCCAUGCCGCGUGUGUGAAGAAGGCCCUCGGGUUGUAAAGCACUUUCAGUGAGGAAGAACGCCUGGUGGUUAAUACCCAUCAGGAAAGACAUCACUCACAGAAGAAGCACCGGCUAACUCCGUGCCAGCAGCCGCGGUAAUACGGAGGGUGCGAGCGUUAAUCGGAAUUACUGGGCGUAAAGCGCGCGUAGGUGGCUUGAUAAGCCGGUUGUGAAAGCCCCGGGCUCAACCUGGGAACGGCAUCCGGAACUGUUAAGCUAGAGUGCAGGAGAGGUAGGUAGAAUUCCCGGUGUAGCGGUGAAAUGCGUAGAGAUCGGGAGGAAUACCAGUGGCGAAGGCGGCCUUCUGGACUGACACUGACCCUGAGGUGCGAAAGCGUGGGUAGCAAACAGGAGUAGAUACCCUAGUAGUC
Molecule: ribosomal RNA, 465 nt
Filed under: Vreelandella stevensii
Lineage: Bacteria; Pseudomonadati; Pseudomonadota; Gammaproteobacteria; Oceanospirillales; Halomonadaceae
Description: partial 16S ribosomal RNA
Rfam family: Bacterial small subunit ribosomal RNA
Source: RNAcentral